UAGUAACGGGCGAGUGAAGCGGUAACAGCUCAAAUUUGAAAUCUGGCUCUUGCGGAGUCCGAGUUGUAAUUUGUAGAAGAUGCUUUGGGUUGUGGGUUCGGCCUAAGUUCCUUGGAACAGGACGUCAUAGAGGGUGAGAAUCCCGUAUGUGGCCGAGGCCCGCGCCUAUGUAAAGCUCUUUCAACGAGUCGAGUUGUUUGGGAAUGCAGCUCAAAAUGGGUGGUAAAUUUCAUCUAAAGCUAAAUAUGGGCCAGAGACCGAUAGCGCACAAGUAGAGUGAUCGAAAGAUGAAAAGCACUUUGGAAAGAGAGUUAAACAGUACGUGAAAUUGUUGAAAGGGAAGCGCUUGCAACCAGACUUGGGCGCUGCCGAUCACCUUGAGUUUUCUCGAGUGCACUCGACAGCGCACAGGCCAGCAUCGGUUCGGGUGGCUGGAUAAAGGCCGUAGGAAUGUGGCUCUCUUCGGGGAGUGUUAUAGCCUACGGUGCCAUGCAGCCCAGCCGGACCGAGGACCGCGCCUUCGGGCUAGGAUGCUGGCGUAAUGGUUGUAAGCGACCCGUCUUGAAACACGGACCAAGGAGUCUAACAUCUAUGCGAGUGUUUGGGUGGUAAACCCAUACGCGGAAUGAAAGUGAACGUAGGUGAGAACCCCUUUGGGGCGCAUCAUCGACCGAUCCUGAUGUCUUCGGAUGGAUUUGAGUAAGAGCAUAGCUGUUGGGACCCGAAAGAUGGUGAACUAUGCCUGAAUAGGGUGAAGCCAGAGGAAACUCUGGUGGAGGCUCGCAGCGGUUCUGACGUGCAAAUCGAUCGUCAAAUUUGGGCAUAGGGGCGAAAGACUAAUCGAACCAUCUAGUAGCUGGUUCCUGCCGAAGUUUCCCUCAGGAUAGCAA
RNAcentral lists this ribosomal RNA (890 nucleotides) under Erysiphe quercicola. RNAcentral describes it as "eukaryotic LSU rRNA". It matches the Rfam family "Eukaryotic large subunit ribosomal RNA", at positions 81 to 984 of the family's 3401-position model. Lineage: Eukaryota; Fungi; Ascomycota; Leotiomycetes; Helotiales; Erysiphaceae. The record is from RNAcentral.